CUGUGUCUUCUCCAAGCUUCACAUGUAAAAUCCAACAGUGUGAAGCACAUAGCAGCCAGAAACUGUAAUGCCACAGAUCAGAGAGGCUUCAUCAUCACCAUCUUUAUCGCCGUACGAUCAGAGCAUGAGACUUCACAUCUGGAGCACAGGAGAGAUUCUGUGAUAAGUCCUCCUUCUAGCUUGUCCCACAAGCAGUCGGUGAGAUUUACUCACAACAAAAAGGGUUAAUGACAUUAUUUUCACGAAAACAUGUAUUAAUUCUUUGUAAAGUGUUUAAAUUGUGUUUUCACUUGACCUUAGGAGUGUUAUUUUGAGUGUAUUUUAAUAUCUGUACUCAGGUGUUUCCCUCUGUGAUCCAUCCCCUUCAGAGCUGAGACACUCAGGACUGAACAGACUGCACAGUUUCUGUGACUGAGCCUCCAAAACAUCUUCUUUGAAACCACACAUGAUAGAAGGGCUUUAUAUUUGCAGCAGCACUACUAAAGUCGGCAGGAAUGUUGCUGCAGGAAAACAUCCCUGCAGAUCACCAUCAUUGUCAGACUGACUGUGCCUCCUCUGUGCAGUGUCAAGAUCCUCCCUAAAUGAGUGUUUCUUAGCUAUCCUGCUUCUGUGCUGCUUGCCACACAUCAAACACUGGCCGGAUGACAGGGAGGAUCCACUCUGAAGUCACUGGACAUGAUGAGGAUCAUAUGGGACUUUAUAGUUUCACAGAAAUGUUGUGCUCUUUGAUUACAGGUUUUAAAUGGACAUAAUGACUGCCUCUCUCUGAUCUGACAGGCUAAAGGAUUGUUUUCAUUGUUAGUGCUCUGUACAGUGUAUGCUUAUUUAAUAUUUCAUCACAGAGCAAACCUUUAUUUAUUUAACAUAUUUUUAUUUUGUUUUAAUGUUGAAUUAACUGUGGGGAUUUUUUUAAGUGGGCACUCGGGAUGUCAUAUGACCAGAAAUGUGGUAACUGUAAUUCAACAGUAUGUAAAGAAAGAAUCUGCUAAGAACAAAACACAGACAAAAAACCCCAAGAGAACUCAAAUUUGUUCCAUGUAAUCCAAUCUAAAACAUUUUAAACUGCUGAACAGCAACACAAACAGUGUUAAAGAAACAGUGUUAACAGAAUAAUUAUGAUGAGUUUGUACCAAAGUUUCAGGUCACAUGGCACACCUAGUGUGUAGUGUGGGGUAUCAGCUGGUAAGUAUAGGUUUUUUCAUAUUUGUGUCCUUAGAGUUCAGAUAGAUAAAGCCUUGUGUAUAAUAAUUAGUCAUAACCACAACUCAAAGUCAGGGACUAACUAAAUUUGGGACUUCGUGUCUGAGCCCAGGUUAAAACACAGUGUUAAAAAGCAUUUAGUUGCAUGGCUGAACAAUGCUGUAAACUAAUGAUACGUAUUUAUCCAUGUUCACAAAAAGGACUAAUGUGUUCAUUUGAUUAUUUGUAUGUGUUAAAAUGUGUCACCACCUUAGGCUUUCGUUUGAGUUCACUCAAAAAUCUCUAUACAGUUCUCUUUUACCACUGUGUGGACACUGUUUACAAUAAAACAUAAAAAAGAAUGAGUAAUAAAAAGAUGUGUAGACAGAUCAGUAGAUUCAGUAGACCAAUAUUAACAGCUGUUCAGCCAUGUUCUACGAAACCAACACAAUUUAAAGGUUCAGGAUUGUGGUUUUAAAAGUUGAAUUUUCAUGUAUUUCAUAUGUAGCUUAUUAUUUUUAUUUGGUUAUUUAAUUUAGUUAUUUUUAUUUAUUCUCCUGUGAAGUGUUUAACAAAAAAAGCUACUUUAAUUUCAAUUUUAUUUGUUUAUUAUUUGGUAAUUUGUUCUUUAAGAAUCGAGUCUGUGCCAAAAACUAAAGUUGAACAGACACAUGACAGGAUCAGAUUAUUAACACCUUAAAACAUUGC
Molecule: long non-coding RNA, 1887 nt
Organism: Pelmatolapia mariae (spotted tilapia)
Lineage: Eukaryota; Metazoa; Chordata; Actinopteri; Cichliformes; Cichlidae
Exons: 3
Source: RefSeq, a predicted model, not a curated record